Musa acuminata subsp. malaccensis (wild Malaysian banana) is the source of this 87-nucleotide non-coding RNA. Lineage: Eukaryota; Viridiplantae; Streptophyta; Magnoliopsida; Zingiberales; Musaceae. The record is from Rfam.
GGAGGCAAAUGAUGUGAUUUCAAAUCUUAUCCUACACACUGAAAACACUGUGUGGACAGAUAACUCCGCUUAUUAUCUGAUGCCUCU